This 206-nucleotide ribosomal RNA is filed under the name uncultured bacterium. Its description in RNAcentral is "partial 16S ribosomal RNA". It matches the Rfam family "Bacterial small subunit ribosomal RNA", at positions 524 to 729 of the family's 1533-position model. The record is from RNAcentral.
UACGUAGGGUGCGAGCGUUAAUCGGAAUUACUGGGCGUAAAGGGUGCGCAGGCGGUUUUGUAAGCCAGAUGUGAAAUCCCCGGGCUCAACCUGGGAACUGCAUUUGUGACUGCAAGGCUAGAGUACGGUAGAGGGGGAUGGAAUUCCGCGUGUAGCAGUGAAAUGCGUAGAUAUGCGGAGGAACACCGAUGGCGAAGGCAAUCCCC